GUGCCAGCAGCCGCGGUAAUACGUAGGUGGCAAGCGUUGUCCGGAUUUAUUGGGCGUAAAGCGAGCGCAGGCGGUUUCUUAAGUCUGAUGUGAAAGCCCCCGGCUCAACCGGGGAGGGUCAUUGGAAACUGGGAAACUUGAGUGCAGAAGAGGAGAGUGGAAUUCCAUGUGUAGCGGUGAAAUGCGUAGAUAUAUGGAGGAACACCAGUGGCGAAGGCGGCUCUCUGGUCUGUAACUGACGCUGAGGCUCGAAAGCGUGGGGAGCAAACAGGAUUAGAWACCCUGGUAGUCC
RNAcentral lists this ribosomal RNA (292 nucleotides) under uncultured microorganism. Its description in RNAcentral is "partial 16S ribosomal RNA". It matches the Rfam family "Bacterial small subunit ribosomal RNA", at positions 505 to 796 of the family's 1533-position model. The record is from RNAcentral.